This 112-nucleotide ribosomal RNA is filed under the name uncultured bacterium. RNAcentral describes it as "partial 16S ribosomal RNA". It matches the Rfam family "Bacterial small subunit ribosomal RNA", at positions 1373 to 1482 of the family's 1533-position model. The record is from RNAcentral.
CCCGGGCCUUGUACACACCGCCCGUCACACCAUGGAAGCCGAUAACACCCGAAGCCGGUGGCCUAACCCGCAAGGGAGGGAGCCGUCGAAGGUGGGAUUGGUGACUGGGGUG